Molecule: ribosomal RNA, 229 nt
Filed under: uncultured bacterium
Lineage: Bacteria
Description: partial 16S ribosomal RNA
Rfam family: Bacterial small subunit ribosomal RNA
Source: RNAcentral
AGAGUUUGAUCAUGGCUCAGGAUGAACGCUAGCGGCAGGCCUAACACAUGCAAGUCGAGGGGCAUCGGGAUUGAAGCUUGCUUCAAUUGCCGGCGACCGGCGCACGGGUGCGUAACGCGUAUGUAACCUACCUAUAACAGGGGCAUAACACUGAGAAAUUGGUACUAAUUCCCCAUAAUAUUCGGAGAGGCAUCUCUCCGGGUUGAAAACUCCGGUGGUUAUAGACGUA